UCCUCCGACGACAAGCAAGAAAAUGCUCUUCCAGACAAGGAGAGCAGGUCACUGCCUGAGCUAAUCGCCGACCCAUUCCUCGGCCUCACGGGCGCCAGGCCUGAGAGGGGGCUCACAGCAACGAACAGUCAUCACUUACAGAAGAGAAUGUGCAAAUUCUCUACCUGUCAUAGAGAGAGGUUAGCACACAAAUUAAGCGUUCUAGCUGGCAAAAAAGGAAAAAAAACAACAGACGUGGGCAAGAACUCCUUCGGCAAGAGGGAGAUACAUCUGCCUCCCGCCCAGCUGCCAUAGGGGAACUGGCCCAGAGGAGCCAUGACUCCUAUGUAGUACAAACUGGGAGAAUACCCCAGUGACCUAAUGAUCAUGUGUAACAGUGAAUGAAUGAAUGAAUGACGACUCUGAUGAUAAAUCACAUCAUAAGAUGAUUUUUAAAAAAUCAUUUUAUAAGCUUCAAGACUACAGUGCCUUUGAUCUAAGCCUUCUGAAUCCACGUAUGUUUUCUUCCAGCUUUGUGAAUCUCGUAAAUCACAGCACUAACGAAAUGAAGAAACAUGUAGCUUCUCACAAAAAAUUCUUGCAAGAGAUUUCUGUUUCAGCACAACAUGCAAAUUAAAUCAAUAAAAGUAUUUCUUCCUCAACAGGUUGGGGUAGAAAACACAGUGAGCA
This is a long non-coding RNA of Xiphophorus hellerii (green swordtail), 669 nucleotides long. RefSeq lists it as uncharacterized. NCBI's taxonomy places the organism in Eukaryota, Metazoa, Chordata, Actinopteri, Cyprinodontiformes, Poeciliidae. The transcript has 2 exons. The record is from RefSeq and is a predicted model, not a curated record.